CAUAAAUUUAUUGACUGUAUGACGUUAAAAACGUCCAGAUUAAAACAAACCGGUGUUCUUGUACAAUCCAACCACUUACUCGUCUCUCAUCAAAACCAAUUUCCUUGUUCUGUUCAGAUUGACAUUUUAAAAUAUAUAAUUCGGAAUACGUCUGUACAGUCCACAUAUAGAUCUUGGAUUGAUCUCACGGAUUGAAUUUGAAGCUCAAUCAUGGUAUUUUUUCCCUGUAAAUUUCAUAGAUUUCGUGAUGAAUUUUUCAUAAAACAACAUCACAGAGUUUCAGAUUUGUAGAGAUUCUUCAAUUUACAGAUUUUAAAAAAAAAAGUUAUAAAGAGAGUUUACAGGAUUUCAUUUGAGGUAUAGAUUGGAAAUAUUAUAUUGAUUGAUGUUGUUGUCUGAGGGUUUGGAUUUAACAGAGUGAUGAUGAAUUUUGGAGUAACACAGAAAGGAGGUGGUUCAGGGUUUCCUGUAAUUCCUAAAUCACUUGCAUCAAUUGUAGUUUCAGUUGGUGGAUUAGCUUUGUUUGUCAUUUUUGCUUCAUGUCUUUUGAUAUCUAACCCUGCUAGUACUCCUGUUAAUGGUUCUUCUUUAUUCAGCAUUAGUAAUAAUUCAACUAAAUCUGGUUUCGAUUCGUCGCCAUUGGUAGGUCUUGACAAUAACAAUGAGACUGUUACUUUGCUUACUCAGAAACCACCUUCAGAUAGUGUUGAUGAUGAGAAAUUACCCUCGAUUAGUUCUGAUAAGAUAGAUUCAGAUGCAAGUGUUGAGAUUAAAGAAAAGGGUGUUGAAACAGGACCAAUUGAUAACAAACCACCUGAUGUUUCUUCUGAUAAGCCAGAAGAGAUACUUCCCAAGGAUUCUGACAAGAUUGAUUUAGGAGAAAAAGGAAAACAAGAGAUAACUUCUAACAUUCCAGAGGAGAUUCCAGUUCCAUCACCUCCAUUAUCUGAUGUAACUAGUAAAAUUGAUUCAGGAGAAAAGGGUGUUGAAGCGGGAGGCGAUGACAAGAUAACUGAUUCUGAAUUUCCUUCGACUACAAAAAAGGAAAUUACAGUUCCUUCUCCUCCAUUGUCGAAGGAUUUAGGAGAAGAGGGAGUAAAGCAGGAGUUAUCGGAUUCUACUUCUCAUACACCAGAGGAAAUUUCAGUUCCUUCACCUCCAGUAUCUAUUUUAUCUAACGAAACUGAUACAGGAAAGAAGGGUUUUGAAACCGAAACUGAUACAGGAAAUAAGGGUUUUGAAACUGAAGACAAUGGCGGGGUAUCUGGUUCAGAAUCACCUUCUAAAACGGAAGAGGAAAUUCCAACUCCUUCUCCUCCAUUAUCAAAGGACUCUAGCAAGACCGCUUCAGGUGACUGUGAUCUCUUCCAUGGAAAAUGGUUUUAUGAUCCAGAAGGCCCUCUUUAUACAAACAACUCAUGUCCAGUCAUAACACAGAUGCAGAAUUGCCAGGGAAAUGGUAGGCCUGACAAGGAAUAUGAAAGUUGGCGAUGGAAGCCAUCACAGUGCGACCUCCCACGAUUUGAUGGCAAAAAAUUCUUAGAAUUGAUGAGAGGGAAGACACUUGCUUUCAUUGGCGACUCAGUUGCGCGGAACCAGAUGGAAUCUAUGCUAUGCCUUCUUUGGCAGGUGGAAGUUCCAAAAAAUCGUGGGAACAAGCAUAUGCAACGUUGGUACUUCAGGUCAACCUCUGUCAUGAUUGUCCGAAUAUGGUCAUCUUGGCUCGUUGGUAGGUCAGCAGAGCCCGUCGAUGUUGCCCCUGCUUCAGUUGUCAAACUCCACCUAGAUUCUCCAGAUGAAGACUUUUUCCAAUACCUCCCAAGUUUUGAUGUGGUUGUCCUCUCUUCUGGCCAUUGGUUUGCCAAGCAAUCUGUCUACAUGCUCAAUAAUGAAGUUGUUGGUGGGCAGCUAUGGUGGCUUGACAAAAGCCGCCCAAUGAAAGUCAACAAUAUAGAAGCAUUUGGUAUCUCUACAGAGACAAUUCUCACAGCUAUGUCAACUUAUCCCAACUACACUGGCUUAACAAUAGUCCGUGCGUUUUCACCUGAUCAUUAUGAAGGUGGGGCUUGGAACACAGGUGGAUCUUGCACUGGGAAGGUGAAACCUGCAACCGAAUUGGUAGAAAACGGGUUUACAAAUAUAAUGCAUGAGAAACAGGUGACGGGAUUUAAACGAGCAGUUGAAAAGUCGAAAAAUGGGUCAAAGUUGAGGUUAAUGGACAUCACAGAAGCUUUUGGUUACCGACAUGAUGGCCAUCCAGGACCAUACAGGAGUCCUGACCCAAACAAGAAAACAAAACGUGGCCCAAAUGGAGAGCCGCCGCCACAGGAUUGCUUGCACUGGUGCAUGCCAGGUCCAGUUGAUACAUGGAAUGAGAUUGUUCUUGAGAUCAUACGCAGAGAAUUUGAGGACAAUGUUACUUCCCCUGCAUAAGAUGCAUGUCCACGUAACUUCGUCAAUCUGCAUCUUGUUGUUGUAAUUUAAAAGGGAAAAUUUGUUUAAUUCUUGAUCACAGGUAUAUUUAAUUGUUGAGCAACUUGCGCUGGACCUGCUAAUCUUCGUCGAGAGACGGAUACCAUUGGCAGCAAAAGAUUGUAGUCUUAACAUCGGGCAUGGCAGACUCUAGCCAGAAGUUCCAGCGAGUUGUUUUUGAGAUGACUGAGUUGUUAGGAGAUGAUGAUGGGGUUCUAUUCGUUGAGAUGGAAACUAAGAAAUUGAGGAAGAGGUUUCCUUCAGAUAGACCAAUUUGUAGUGCUCGUGGAUGUGGUAUUCUUAUCAAGUACACCUACAGAUGUGUAUGUGAGAAGAUGUAUUUAGUUCACAACUCCCGCAGCAAGCAACCCGGCGGCGGUCCUAUGGAGUAUGUAACUUGUUGCCCAUGUGGUGCGCGAGAUCGAGUCAUAUUUCGAGACCACUGAAUUUAUUUUACCAUUAGUAAAAUAAAUUACACUCACUAAAAUAAAAGAGGAGGUUGUGUCUAUUUAUUUUACUUUUCUUCAUCUGCCAAUUUGAGUAAUUUUUUUUCUUCCUGUGUAUGUAUUUAUCUCUAAGCUCAAUGAAAAGUGUUUGUCA
Papaver somniferum (opium poppy) is the source of this 3072-nucleotide RNA transcript. It is a transcript of the gene named protein YLS7-like, with no coding region annotated. The transcript has 4 exons. Lineage: Eukaryota; Viridiplantae; Streptophyta; Magnoliopsida; Ranunculales; Papaveraceae. The record is from RefSeq and is a predicted model, not a curated record.